AGCUAUUGUAGGUUCCCUUGUGUCCUCAAGGAAAAUACGUGUACUCCGUAAGAGCGGAAAAUUCAGGCUUGCUUAGCCACCCAAGACGCUGCCCCCUGCCUACUCCAUCUCCAAGGAAGCGCCUGGGCCACUGGUCUGGUUGGCUAGCGAGGAUGGAGAGCACAGAGGAGUGACAUGAUUCCCAUCCUCAUUCUUUGGAGAGUUUGAUAGGAUAAAACUUUGUACUUUAAUUAGCUGGAAUCUGGCCAUACCCUUGAAGAGGACAAGGGAGCUACACACAAAAAAAAUGUAUUGGCAAGAGAUGCUUUGCACUGGACAAAGCAUUGAUCUUCUGUUUUCUUAAGCUUGUUGUGAAGGAAACACUAUCUGGAUAUUGAAUUUGAUUGGAGAUCAAAUGAAGGCAGUGAUCAUGAUCCAACACUUUGACUGUCAAGGACAAUGUGUUGCCAUGUGUGCAAAUCAGGAGUUCCGUCAUGAUUCAUGAGGUGCAGGGAAUAACUCAGAGCCAUGGCUUUCUUUACUAACCUAGCUGUGGUAUAGAUCCAGGUAGCUUUAUACUCACAUAUUGCUGUCUUCCAUAAACCUUUCCAUUUGCCAGCCAAUGUAAUGCGAUCCUUUUUCUCUAUCAUGUUUUCUAUCUGAAGUUUUAUUGUGCUCCGUAUUUUUCCAAUAUUGUUAUUCCUUCAACAAAAUCAACUGAUCCACACAUUACUUCCAACACAUACUUCAGUUUUUUUUCCAGAAACAGGAUGUGGCUUUUUUUACAGUAUUUCUGUUGAAGUCAGAUUUCAUAAAUCAAUUUAAACCAGCAUUACGAUGGGUCACCCUCGGAUGGCUGGGAAGUUAGCUAGAAGCCGAGAUUGAGCAGUAUUUUUUGGCAGUAACUGCUAGGAUGAUGGACAUGUGCAGUGUGAAAUCCCUUCCAGUGCCCAACUGCUAGGAUGAUGGACAUGCUCAUGGGAUACCCCUUAAGACAACGACGUCGAGCACUAUUCCGAUAACAAUUGACUGGAGUACUAUUAUGAGACAAUGUCCUAAGAGUAACUGAGAUAUAAACCUCUAUGGUUUGCAUACCAUAUAAACUUCUACUGGUCACACGAUAGAAGAUAUGCACUUGCUGUUGAUUAUGUAAAUGUUAUAUACUGAAGUACUAUUUUGAGCACUUGCUGUUGAUCAGGUAAAUGUUAUAUACUGAAGUACUAUUUUG
Non-coding RNA from Oryza sativa Japonica Group (Japanese rice), 1207 nucleotides. The record is from RefSeq and is a predicted model, not a curated record. NCBI's taxonomy places the organism in Eukaryota, Viridiplantae, Streptophyta, Magnoliopsida, Poales, Poaceae.